UACGUAGGGUGCAAGCGUUGUCCGGAAUUAUUGGGCGUAAAGAGCUCGUAGGCGGUUUGUCGCGUCUGCUGUGAAAUCCCGAGGCUCAACCUCGGGCUUGCAGUGGGUACGGGCAGACUAGAGUGCGGUAGGGGAGAUUGGAAUUCCUGGUGUAGCGGUGAAAUGCGCAGAUAUCAGGAGGAACACCGGUGGCGAAGGCGGGUCUCUGGGCCGAUACUGACGCUGAGGAGCGAAAGCGUGGGGAGCGAACAGG
This 253-nucleotide ribosomal RNA is filed under the name uncultured bacterium. Its description in RNAcentral is "partial 16S ribosomal RNA". It matches the Rfam family "Bacterial small subunit ribosomal RNA", at positions 524 to 776 of the family's 1533-position model. The record is from RNAcentral.